GCCCCUGUAGCUCAGCGGAGCAGAGCAGCGGCCUUCUAAGCCGUGGGUCGGGGGUUCGAAUCCCUCCAGGGGCG
Molecule: transfer RNA, 74 nt
Filed under: Anaerolineae bacterium
Lineage: Bacteria; Bacillati; Chloroflexota; Anaerolineae
Description: tRNA-Arg
Rfam family: tRNA
About the family: Transfer RNA (tRNA) molecules are approximately 80 nucleotides in length. Their secondary structure includes four short double-helical elements and three loops (D, anti-codon, and T loops).
Source: RNAcentral